UUAAGCGACUAAGCGUACACGGUGGAUGCCCUGGCAGUCAGAGGCGAUGAAGGACGUGCUAAUCUGCGAUAAGCGUCGGUGAGGUGAUAUGAACCGUUAUAACCGGCGAUUUCCGAAUGGGGAAACCCAGUGUGUUUCGACACACUAUCAUUAACUGAAUCCAUAGGUUAAUGAGGCGAACCGGGGGAACUGAAACAUCUAAGUACCCCGAGGAAAAGAAAUCAACCGAGAUUCCCCCAGUAGCGGCGAGCGAACGGGGAGGAGCCCAGAGCCUGAAUCAGUGUGUGUGUUAGUGGAAGCGUCUGGAAAGGCGUGCGAUACAGGGUGACAGCCCCGUACACAAAAAUGCACAUAUUGUGAGCUCGAUGAGUAGGGCGGGACACGUGGUAUCCUGUCUGAAUAUGGGGGGACCAUCCUCCAAGGCUAAAUACUCCUGACUGACCGAUAGUGAACCAGUACCGUGAGGGAAAGGCGAAAAGAACCCCGGCGAGGGGAGUGAAAAAGAACCUGAAACCGUGUACGUACAAGCAGUGGGAGCCUCUUAAUGGGGUGACUGCGUACCUUUUGUAUAAUGGGUCAGCGACUUAUAUUCUGUAGCAAGGUUAACCGAAUAGGGGAGCCGAAGGGAAACCGAGUCUUAACUGGGCGUUAAGUUGCAGGGUAUAGACCCGAAACCCGGUGAUCUAGCCAUGGGCAGGUUGAAGGUUGGGUAACACUAACUGGAGGACCGAACCGACUAAUGUUGAAAAAUUAGCGGAUGACUUGUGGCUGGGGGUGAAAGGCCAAUCAAACCGGGAGAUAGCUGGUUCUCCCCGAAAGCUAUUUAGGUAGCGCCUCGUGAAUUCAUCUCCGGGGGUAGAGCACUGUUUCGGCAAGGGGGUCAUCCCGACUUACCAACCCGAUGCAAACUGCGAAUACCGGAGAAUGUUAUCACGGGAGACACACGGCGGGUGCUAACGUCCGUCGUGAAGAGGGAAACAACCCAGACCGCCAGCUAAGGUCCCAAAGUCAUGGUUAAGUGGGAAACGAUGUGGGAAGGCCCAGACAGCCAGGAUGUUGGCUUAGAAGCAGCCAUCAUUUAAAGAAAGCGUAAUAGCUCACUGGUCGAGUCGGCCUGCGCGGAAGAUGUAACGGGGCUAAACCAUGCACCGAAGCUGCGGCAGCGACACUAUGUGUUGUUGGGUAGGGGAGCGUUCUGUAAGCCUGUGAAGGUGGCCUGUGAGGGGUGCUGGAGGUAUCAGAAGUGCGAAUGCUGACAUAAGUAACGAUAAAGCGGGUGAAAAGCCCGCUCGCCGGAAGACCAAGGGUUCCUGUCCAACGUUAAUCGGGGCAGGGUGAGUCGACCCCUAAGGCGAGGCCGAAAGGCGUAGUCGAUGGGAAACAGGUUAAUAUUCCUGUACUUGGUGUUACUGCGAAGGGGGGACGGAGAAGGCUAUGUUGGCCGGGCGACGGUUGUCCCGGUUUAAGCGUGUAGGCUGGUUUUCCAGGCAAAUCCGGAAAACCAAGGCUGAGGCGUGAUGACGAGGCACUACGGUGCUGAAGCGACAAAUGCCCUGCUUCCAGGAAAAGCCUCUAAGCAUCAGGUAACAUCAAAUCGUACCCCAAACCGACACAGGUGGUCAGGUAGAGAAUACCAAGGCGCUUGAGAGAACUCGGGUGAAGGAACUAGGCAAAAUGGUGCCGUAACUUCGGGAGAAGGCACGCUGAUAUGUAGGUGAAGCGACUUGCUCGUGGAGCUGAAAUCAGUCGAAGAUACCAGCUGGCUGCAACUGUUUAUUAAAAACACAGCACUGUGCAAACACGAAAGUGGACGUAUACGGUGUGACGCCUGCCCGGUGCCGGAAGGUUAAUUGAUGGGGUUAGCGGUAACGCGAAGCUCUUGAUCGAAGCCCCGGUAAACGGCGGCCGUAACUAUAACGGUCCUAAGGUAGCGAAAUUCCUUGUCGGGUAAGUUCCGACCUGCACGAAUGGCGUAAUGAUGGCCAGGCUGUCUCCACCCGAGACUCAGUGAAAUUGAACUCGCUGUGAAGAUGCAGUGUACCCGCGGCAAGACGGAAAGACCCCGUGAACCUUUACUAUAGCUUGACACUGAACAUUGAGCCUUGAUGUGUAGGAUAGGUGGGAGGCUUUGAAGUGUGGACGCCAGUCUGCAUGGAGCCGACCUUGAAAUACCACCCUUUAAUGUUUGAUGUUCUAACGUUGGCCCGUAAUCCGGGUUGCGGACAGUGUCUGGUGGGUAGUUUGACUGGGGCGGUCUCCUCCUAAAGAGUAACGGAGGAGCACGAAGGUUGGCUAAUCCUGGUCGGACAUCAGGAGGUUAGUGCAAUGGCAUAAGCCAGCUUGACUGCGAGCGUGACGGCGCGAGCAGGUGCGAAAGCAGGUCAUAGUGAUCCGGUGGUUCUGAAUGGAAGGGCCAUCGCUCAACGGAUAAAAGGUACUCCGGGGAUAACAGGCUGAUACCGCCCAAGAGUUCAUAUCGACGGCGGUGUUUGGCACCUCGAUGUCGGCUCAUCACAUCCUGGGGCUGAAGUAGGUCCCAAGGGUAUGGCUGUUCGCCAUUUAAAGUGGUACGCGAGCUGGGUUUAGAACGUCGUGAGACAGUUCGGUCCCUAUCUGCCGUGGGCGCUGGAGAACUGAGGGGGGCUGCUCCUAGUACGAGAGGACCGGAGUGGACGCAUCACUGGUGUUCGGGUUGUCAUGCCAAUGGCACUGCCCGGUAGCUAAAUGCGGAAGAGAUAAGUGCUGAAAGCAUCUAAGCACGAAACUUGCCCCGAGAUGAGUUCUCCCUGACUCCUUGAGAGUCCUGAAGGAACGUUGAAGACGACGACGUUGAUAGGCCGGGUGUGUAAGCGCAGCGAUGCGUUGAGCUAACCGGUACUAAUGAACCGUGAGGCUUAACCUU
This 2902-nucleotide ribosomal RNA is filed under the name Escherichia coli HVH 46 (4-2758776). Its description in RNAcentral is "bacterial LSU rRNA". It matches the Rfam family "Bacterial large subunit ribosomal RNA". Lineage: Bacteria; Pseudomonadati; Pseudomonadota; Gammaproteobacteria; Enterobacterales; Enterobacteriaceae. The record is from RNAcentral.